UAGAACCCCAUGGAUUAUAAGUCCAAUUAUAUUUUGGACGUCUAUGGCCACCCUGACUUAACCGGUGAAAAGGAGACAGAAAGCAUGGGCAAGUCUCGCGAGGGUGGUGGUAAUGUUAGGUUUAGGAUUUAGGUUAAGGAUGAUUAACACUAUAUACAACAGUGGUUCGCUUCGUCAUUCUUCUCCUUUAAUCAGUCAGAUGCGAUAUGAUACAUGAUACAGUACGGUCAAGAAGUUUUAUCGAGAGUGCCUUGUACGAUGAAAAAAGUCAAUUCUAAUGGAACAUUCCAUUAGAAUUUUUUUAAAUGUCAUAGGCCAUGGCAUGGCCGCUUUGUCAUCAAACUUUUUGAACGUACCUACGCUAAGCUUGAUAUAUUUGAACUUUUAGUCCAUG
Molecule: long non-coding RNA, 394 nt
Organism: Sitophilus oryzae (rice weevil)
Lineage: Eukaryota; Metazoa; Arthropoda; Insecta; Coleoptera; Curculionidae
Exons: 2
Source: RefSeq, a predicted model, not a curated record